CAAGAUUGAAGCCCAACUAGUGGCUGAAAAUACUGUAGUCGGGCUGAAAACACUGUAGGCGGUGGCACCGCCUAGCUGGGCGGUGACACCUCCUUGGCUGGGCGGUUGCACCGUCCAGCACCCGAGCGCUGGGCGGUGGCACCUCCUUGGCUGGGCGGUUGCACCGUCCAGCACCCGAGCGCUGGGCGGUGGCACCGCCUGGUUGGGCGGUGGCACCUCCAGCACCGGGAACCCUAAGAGAAUUCAAAUUUUGAAGCCCAAAAUUUGAAUCCUCUUGAGGCCUAUAAAUACCCCUCAAAUCUCAACUGAGGUUCCAACUUUUGAGAAGC
Molecule: long non-coding RNA, 329 nt
Filed under: Musa acuminata (dwarf banana)
Lineage: Eukaryota; Viridiplantae; Streptophyta; Magnoliopsida; Zingiberales; Musaceae
Description: long non-coding RNA (MACU_LNC000577)
Source: RNAcentral